This is a long non-coding RNA of Gasterosteus aculeatus aculeatus (three-spined stickleback), 19529 nucleotides long. The record is from Ensembl. Lineage: Eukaryota; Metazoa; Chordata; Actinopteri; Perciformes; Gasterosteidae.
GUCUGUGUUUGGGAGCUAAUCGCUGUGAUGCAAGCUGCUGCCUGAGGCCACGGAUGGAGGAUAGAGACGCCCCUCCACGAGCGGAAUGACACAUUUCCCCCUAACAUCCCAUAACAUGGUCCUCCCCCGACCUCCAGCACCAAGCCCUCCCCAAUAUCCUCCAUCCAGGAGCCACAGUUCCCCGAAGACACCGAAGAGCCCCUGUGUGUGUGAGUCACUCUCACUUUUAUGUUGUUGCCUUGAUUGUGUAAUAAACUUUAUUCAGUUAACCGUGAAUUAUUGUUAAUUUAACUAAAAAGUCAUUUUCUUAAUUGAAACAGAGGAGGGAGGGGCGGACCAGAUUAACGACGUAAUGUGUGAGUGUUGCUCUCUUCUUCACACUCCACAUCUUUGAGACUUUUAUCUUGGAUAAUUAUUUUUACCCAUUACAGUUUCCUCAAUCCUUUCUCCCAUCCUGCACUUCUAGUAAAAAGCCAAUAAACUAAUUAGCCUCACACCUGCAGUACUGCAGGUCAGUUGAAUUUUAUACUAUGAAACCUAGUAUAUUGUAGUUGAUAUUCUAAUAAAAUCAAAUUAGCAUAGCAGCAUUACCCCUGAAGGUGCAUCAUUGCAUAGUGUGUAAACAAAGGUGUUACAUUACAGUAGUGGACAUGUAUGAUGUUUAAAGCUUCAGAGGGCUUCAGCAGUAUUGGUGCUGGUGUUUCAAUGGCCACAUUUUGUUAAAAAACAUGAGGCACCUCCUGUUUGACUGACACAAAUAUUUAUUUCAUUAAUGCCGGGGGAUAGAUGUGUGAAAAGGGCUAUAGGAUUACAGCAAACAAGCAUAUUAGACACAAGCGUCUGACCACUACAGCAGCUAAAUAUAUUUGGUAAAGGCCACUUUGAGCAAAAUCCACUUGUUUACAAUGAAUAGAAAAUUACUGAAUAUUUCUGCGCAGCUCUGUUGGUAAAAAAUGAACACUGCAGAACAUAUUGUUUGUUAAUCAACAUAAAUUACAUACAUUUCAAUAAAAUAAUCCUUCAUUAGUCCGACAGCUGGGAUGUUUGCUUAUUCUGCUGUAAAUCACACGAGCCACCUCUAGACGAUAUAUAAAACCAAAUUCAAAGAUUCAAGAUUCAAAUAUUUUUAUUGUCAUUUACACAUGCCCUGUGUAUUGAAAUUCUUGUGCUUGCCUUUUAAAAUUAAAAUUAAAAUACAAUAUUUACAUAAAUGUACAUGAAAUAAAAAAAUAAAAAUGAGGUAAGGAUAAGGCAGAAAUGAGGUGAGGAGGAAAAGUGCAAAACUGAGCUGGUUGUAAAAGAAAAUACUUAAAUUAAAUGAAAUGAGUGCAAUAUAAAUGAACAGUACAGUAACAGUAAGUGAAAUUCUAACAAGCUAAAGUGCAGACCAGUUGUGGAUUAGGUUUUAGAGUCCUCUCAGCUGUUGAUGGCUUACUUAUGUAACCAGUUACGUAAGUUCACAUACAGGCAUUGCGGUUAAAGCCUGCUAAAGAAAUUUGAGGCAUUAGAAGUAGGUCAUAAUUACCUAGUUUCAAACCUCAUCCAUCACGAUGCUCCACAGAAUGAACUCUGCCGCAAAACAAAUGGGAUCAAAGUUUUGGAAUUCAACCCACAUACCAGAGCUACUGCGGAGAUUCAGGAAGCUGUCACAUUCCAGUAAACACAUGUGGAAUUACCAGGGCAAGAACUCCUGGUCACCAGCCUAGCCAAAUAUUAUCUCAUAGAGAACAAUACGACCCCCCCUUGCACACCAGAGAUUGGCUGAAAGGGAGGAAGUGAUGUAUAUUGACUUUUCAUUUGUGUCUUGCUGACACUGCCCCGAAAAAAAAAAAGGAAAGAACCACGUCCAGCUGCUAAAACCUACAGGAAACAGCCGCACUGGACUCAACAUGAUUCAGCUGCAUUCGCUUUUUCGAGUGAGUGUUUUCACCGAGCGCGUCCGUUGCUCUACAGACAAAAAUUGCAAGUCAUGCCCUGCUAAAGUAGCUAAAUGAAACUGACCAUUAUCACAGUAAUAUUCCUCUAAAACGAUUAGUGCAGUACAUGCAAUAUAACCAAAUGAGGCCUACAAAUGGCAUAGGUGCUCAAGUUAAUGACAUCCAUGUACGCAAUAAAAUAAACAUUAUCCAUCAUUCCUGCUGAUCUACCCGCAUUAACGCUUGACCUACGCAAACAUUCUUGUCUUGGCAAUCAUCCUCUCUAUUUGUCCAUCUAUGGAGUCUGUCUCAGCCAGCACCUUGUCAGUCAUAAAAGCGGAGGAGGAGGUGGGGGUGGAGGUGGUGGAGGAGGUGGAGGAGGAGGAGGAGGAGGAGGAGACGGAGGAGGGGAUGAAAAAGAGUGCCAUUACCAGUGUUCUGGACCCGUGUCUUCCCGGGGUGAAUAAUUACGUCUGACAUGUCGUGAAUAGGGAGGGACAUUAUCGCAGUGAUCCUCUGUACCAACUCGGUGUGUUCCCAUGCGCGCACACACACACACAUACAUUAGGGCCCCUCUGAAUGAUUUAGGGGGUCUGUUAAUAAUGCAGAGGCUCCUAGAGCUAAUUAGGUAAGUAGCAGAGGGCGCCGGCUGUGAUGGCUCAGCUCACUGAUACGAGCUGUAAAGGAAUGAAGCAUCCACUGCACACGCAUACUCUCACACAGAGUUUGGGUUUAUGUUUCACCACAUGCACACGCACACACACACACACACGCCGUAAUCUCAAUAAUUGCCUUGAUUCUUUUCAAAAGGGAUGGAUUAAAUUUGCAUUUGAGAUUAAAUUUCAUUUAUUGAUGGUCGAGCAAAAAAAAAAACGGAGCGGCUUCACUAUUGUACUUUCAUUCAAGUAUAUUAUCAAUUAUUGAGUGGAUGAGGAAAGGAAAGAGGUCUGUGUGCGGUGGCCCUCAGGCAUUUUGACAAACAACAUCAAGGAGGUGGAAAGGCAACAGCGAUCUUUGUUGCUCCCGGGGAAAAGAGAAAAAAAAAAUCGAUAGAAAGUGAUUAUCUUGAGAGGGCACAAGUGGAGAGCCGAGGUGGGCCUCGUCACGUGUGCGAUCCCUCUCUUCCCGGCGCCAGAGCUGUCAGCCCUGUAAGAGCCGUGUCAGGGUGAUUAGAGAGCAGCGCGGCCCAGACGGAGCACAGCCAACCUCCAGACAAGCCCUCCAGAGACGCAGCAGCAAAACAAGCCUCGGCCCAGGGUCAGGCCCCACUUUGUCAACCUCCCUGCAAGACGGGCCCCUCCAGCGCAUAAUCAGGGAUCAUCUCGUAUAGGAGAUUGCAGUGUGUGUGACACGUAGCUGUUUUAUUGCACCUUUAGGGGAAAAAUAAUUUAUAUGCGAAGGUUGGCCCUCUCCAAAAAACAACGAGAACAUUUAUCUUCCCGCAGCGGUAUGUAGACAUUCAUGUGAUUUCUUUCUGAGAUGUUGCUGAUAUUUUGGACUCUAUAUAGUUGAGUUGAAUAGUAUUGACUGCUUUUUUACGUACAACAAUAAUAAUAAUAAUGUCAUUUGGAGGAAUCAUGUACUGUAUGCUGGAAAAAACAAGAGUGUUAUUCCUUUAAAAGGUGUUGCUAGGAGAGGCAUGAAAUGCUAUUUGUUGAAACAUGAUCUGAUGAAGUGAUUAAACCAGACCACACCGUACUUGCAUGUUCAGUUACUAUUUUACUAACAAAGUGGAGAAUAACGGGUGACUGAAGUCAGAGUAGUAUCACAUCUCUACAGUUUACCUGGAUCUCCACAGUCCGUAACUCCCCGCUUCCUACUUAAAUGAGACGAUAGGCCGUCCGGUUGAGGUUGACACUAUGAGGUCACGUUGGAGUUUCAGAGGGGAGAAAACUUUACAAGUUUACACCUACUGAUGUCAACUGAACCCUUGCGCUGAUACUGGCGCCAAUAUCUUUAAAAACAAAGGAUAAAACAAAGAGGACAAUGACAUCUGCCGACAAUUCUGUUACAGGGAGAUGAUUCUAUAUUCAAGUUUUUCAUCAAGGGGUUAAAACACACAAAUCACACAAAAACCAUCCAAAAACCCACGCGGAGCACAAUAUACAGUCCCCCAAUCAGACAGGGAGGGGGAUUCGUACAGGGAUAUCCACCAUAUAAUCUCGUUUUUUUUUCUCCAAGCGUUUGCUUUUUUUUUUUUUUUCGAAGUCCCCCUGUAGCGCACACUUGUUGACAGAUUGCUCAUUAGUGUGACACAAACUUUCAGCGCCGUCUGCAGUUCCCGGGGUUCACCGGUUCCCUCUCAUCCCGCAGCAUAAGGGAAAGCCGCGUCCCGCCUGUUCUCUACCUGUGUGUGAUAGCUGUGGCCUGGAGGUUGACGGUAUCUAAUCACAGCCUCAACAGGUGAGCAGAGGAGACGGUGCAGACAGCACGGCACCACAUGGAAUUCCUGCACUAUCGUAAUGCACAUCGAGCCACACACAGAUUUGUGAUAAAUGCACGGUAUGCUGCUCUUGAUGCUAAACAUAGUAGAUAAUGCACGGUACAUUUUCCUGGCCGCAUGCUAUCUAGUCCUCCGUGAUUUAACGCAGGACACAAACCCCAGAACUCAGGUGUCCGUUCAAAACGUUACACAAACAAUUUUUUUUUUCGCAUUCGUCUUCAUUCAUUUCAGACAUGGCGUUCCUCAGCGCGGCGUUUGAAGUCCUUUUUGACCUCGUCCUCACCUCAACAGCGCAGAAACCUCGUCAGACAUAAAAGCCGUCAGAUGGGGCAGAAGAAGCCAAAACCCCCCCAGGGGAAGGAAAGGCAGAGGAGUGGGAGGGUACCGAGGAGGUAGAAGGAGGAGGACGGGUGUCACUGUCUCUACAAAGCCCUCUUAUCCUAGAUAUCAAAGCGUUGUACUCCCAGAAUAAAACAUUGUCAGAAUGAUAUGACCUCACCACAGGGGAGGCUUGUCAUAUUCCAAAGUAAAAACAGGAAACAGAGAGAGAGAGAAAGGCAGUUUUAUUAUUGUAAAAGGGAGAAGGGGGAUCUCGUGCGGUUUUGGCCGAGCUUUGGUGCACAACGGCGUUCUUAAAAGUGUGUUUUUGAUAUCAUACAAAGAAACUAUUGUGUCAGGCUUCAUCCUCUCUGAGUGGAGCUCUGGGUGCACGGGACAGAGAAGGACAUACGGCAAAACAAGUGACUGCCGGCCUCUCCCCAACUAGUCACAUGACCAACGUGAUCUCCAAAACCUGUUCGUAAAAAUGUAUACGAAAAUCUUGAACAUACAAAUUUCGUAGUGAUACCUACGAACUGCGGGGGUUAACCACGCCCCUUGAGUGAACAACAUGGCGGACCAUGUCGGAUUCUUGAGUGAACGUCUCUCCGCCUCGCCGGAUUUUUGGAGGGGGUUAGGGUUAGGAUUCUAUUCUUACAAGUUAACACUGAUUUCUCGUUAAAAAUGCAAUCAUAACACGUUUAUUUUACAUCGUUAGACUUCACAAAGUGUGUUUACGGGGUGCAGGUCCCCGUUCACUUUGAAUAGGGUGACGUCAUUUCGUAUGUAUCACUACGAAAUUUGUAUUUUCAAGAUUUUCGUGUACAUUUUUACGAACAGGUUUUGGAGAUCAGGCUGCACAUGACAUGUCAUUAUGAACAAGGAGUACGUGGUAAAAUAGCGCCAUUGUUGUAAUCGUCAUUUACUUGUAACCUGUUGCUAUGGAUCCAAGUGUUUGCUGUCUUCUCCUUUUUUUUAUUUGCUUACUGAAGAGGAAGCAUUUAGGAUGUAGGCCAGAUGGGUACACAGCGCUAUUGUAUGGUUGACAGAGAGAUGACCUUGUUGUGCCCGUGCACACGCAUGUGUGUGUGUGUGUGUGUGUGUGUACAGAGAGGGGGGAUUAGAGACCAAGCACCUGGCAGGUGGAAACAGUCUGUACUCAUCUGAUGCCCUCCUGUCCUUCUGGGUCUCUCACACACACACACACACACACACAAUAUGUAUCUCGGUCAUGAUACAUGUUACAUGUUACAUGAUACAUGUUAAAACGCUUACAACCUGGAGUUUCCUAACUUUUGAGUAGCAAACGAGACAGAUAGAGACGCGUUUUGUCGCUCGCGGAUCGCCACACGUUGUGUAGCAGCUCGUCACGAGAUGAAUGUGAGUUGAUGAACCAGAACCCUUGAGGCCCAAACGUACAUGCGAAAAAAAACACAUAGUGACAGAGCUUCAGGGAAUGUCGCAUUUUGUGGUGGUGAUUAAAAGCUAACCAGCCAUUCCGCAUGAUAAAUAUAGCAGUUUCGGUUUCCCUCCUAACACAUUAAUGACACCUUUUAACAUUUGUGCGAAAGGUUUGGGAGGAAUUCCUGUUAAGCGGUUUUGCGAGGUAAAUUAAGCUAAAAAACAUCAAGCUCAAAAAUCAUACAGCUGACUCCUGUCAGGCAUCCCAAUGGAGUACUAAGCACCCCAUCUGUUAUAGCCCGCUCAAAGAUUGUAGCUCGAGUGGAGUCAUGAGUGUUAAGUUAAAACAAACACAGUAAUUACCUUAAUUAAGAUCUGGCAGAUUCCUUUAGAUUAAAAGAUGCCUGCAGAAGAUACUUGAGAGUUGAUCAGAGACGAGAGAAAAGAGGAUGAGGUCAAGGAGAACCAAAUGAAAAAAAACAAUACUAAAAAAAAGGGAAAUACAGGAAGCUAAAAAGGAAAUACGUUACGAAGAGGUGCAGGAAGCGGAGGAGAGCAGUCGUGGCGACUUUUUCUUUUCGGCUGCGUGAGGAGUAAAUGGCUCUGCAGGCACCUGUCACUCUGAGAGGCCGGCAUGGGACGAUCAGCGAUGAUGACGGGGGCACGGACCUGUGUCAAGAUGCUGAACCCAGCUGUCAAUCAAACCACUCUGCCCUGUGGGAUGACAAGGAUGGGCCUUAAUCCUGCUGUAGAGAGAGAGAGCGAGAGGGAUAGAGAAGGAAAAGAUUUGGUAAAAAGGAAAAGCAAAGAGCGAGCGUUUUGGGAGCUGAUAUUAGCUGAAGUUAAUAACUAAAACGAUGGUAAUUUAACUUAAUAUGAUAUGGAAAAAUACGACAGGGUAUGACGUAAGCUCGUGAAGUGUUCUGUAAAAGGCAAUGAAAAUUGCGGCUAUUCUCUUUUCAAUGAACCAACUUGGGAAAAAUGUUUUGCGUCCCUCUCCUUAGUAGGCCAUAUGACACUGUGUGAACCAGUCAUUUGCAGGCCAGAAAGGCCAGUAUGAGUCAUCCUCCAGCUAUCUAGGACCAUACGGCCUCCCGGGAACACACAGGAAUGACCAGGGAACCAGUACAUAAGAGCACAAUAGGAAAAAAAGACUCUAACCCACAUUCGGUAAUUCACUGGAGCUCCGGCAAGCUGUUUUCAAUUAGCCUUCGAUGAUUCUCAGUGUUGGUCAACCGCAUCAUUUCAAGCAAAUGAAACCAUAACUUGAAGCCACAAUGUUUGGUUUGGCCACAAGGAAAUAUGUGCUUCCCUCCUUUCUUUUGUCAGUGGUAUACUCGCUGCAGAAGACCUUCAACAUGCUUUUGUGGUCUUUUUCAUGUAUCACAGUUGUGUAACGACGUGGAAGUGACACACAUGACACCUCAUGCAUUCGUCUGCUGGAUGAAGUGAAGUACUGUGUUUCGAUCCGUAUUAUUUCUGGAGGUAAUCUGGUUUUAGUUGGGCAGCAUAUUCCUCUGAGGUCCACGUUGCGGCGACAAUCACAAUAAUAAUUUACAUGUGACCAGUAAAGGAAUAACCUCUGGUGCCUUGCUGCAGGGAUAUGGGGUCAAAGGUGGAGUUUUUAAAUGUAUGCGUGACAAAGAGAGGUGGAGAGAGAGAGAGAGAGAGAGAGAGAGAGACAUGCACCAGCAGAGAUACACUUCGUCACAGCUUUCAGGGGACAGUGUGAACCAAGAGCAAAAGCCAAAGAUCGUUCGGGGCCCAGAUGUACAGUGUCCCCGAGGUGAUCACAGCCCUGACCUGACACUCCAGUGUCCCGGCGUGCUCGCAAGAUGUGGGUCAACUGACAUCUGUUUCUCACCACAGCCCGGGCUCAGCUCGGCCCGACCCAACCCUGCUGCCAUAUUCAUCCUAAUAACCACUCCCAUAAUCACCAGGGAUUAUUCUAAUAUUAGUGAGCACACACACACACACACACACACAGUGACUGCUCUGAUUAAGGUAUAGUGCUCCAUAUGUUUUUUUUGGAGUUUUUUUGCGAGGGAUUUGUACGCUUUUUAGCCCUUCAGUGAAAAGCCUUGAAAAAGCCAGCUUAGAGAGGACUAAAGAGAGUCCCUGCAUAAAUAAUAUUGGAAAAUAGCAUGGGCAUGGGGUUUAGGGAAAGGGGGGGGUCAAACCGGGCUGAGAUGCUCACUGCCAGCAGAGGUGCUCCGCACCGAUGUCUGGCCUUGAAGUUGGGCGUUGAGGGGGGGGGGGACUGCCGUGCGCUUUUCUUCCACCAUGGCGGAGGGAUUAUGAACCACUGACAGGGAUGUGUGAAUCAAGAUGGCACACUCACUACACAACAGGACUAGAAAGAGACACCGCGGGGGGCUGUCAAGACAGACCCAGAGUGAGCAUGGGAGGAUUACCAUAUAAUGAUGAAAGAUGAUGAAGACUGAUGAAUGGAUUGUUGGCGCUUUAGCUGUGGGGGGGGGGGGGACGACAUGCUUCUGUGAGGAACUUGACAUUUCAUGCAUGGAUGCCAAAGCUAAGGAUUUCCAGUGCAAAGACAUGUGUGGAUUUUUGCCGCUGUUCUUCUUGAAGCGGAUGAUUUUCUUUUAUGUCAGCUAGCUGUUUUUAUUUAUCCCUUUAGUGUAAACUCAUUGUAUUCCAGGCAUUCCUGUGCUACACGUCCUUCUUUACAUAUUGUGCGUGAAAUCAUCUCUCUUCCCACUUUUUUUUUUUUCCUUAAAGGUCUAUUUGUGGAAGUCAUGGCCUGCUGGUGUUUACGAUUCUCACUGGGCCCCUACUGCUGGUGUUUUUUCCCCACACACACACACACACACACGUACACACACAAACAUGGUGGGUUCUUCCUGCUGACACUCAACUUCAUUCUUUGCUGCAGCUGCAUCGGUUGUCACCAUGGAGACCUUGUUUAUUACUUAACCCCCCCCCCACCUGCUCACCAACACACACACACACACAUGCACAACCGUUAUGGCAGAAAAAUAGGCAGACUGCGUCUGACUCUGUGUUUGAUUUGGUGUUAUUGGGCCCCAUCGGGAUCACAGCCUCCAGCAAGCCCAGGCCCAUAUGCACAAACACACGCCCACAGCAGUUGGCCCGGGAUGGAUGCAGCAGGCCCGUGCUAAACACUGCGCCGUAAGCAGCACACCACCCUAAUCACCUGCAGGCUGGUCUGGAUAAUGACAUUUGUUAAGGCUUUAACUCGACCUGCGUGAGUGAGAGAGGGGCGGUCUGGCUGCGUUUCCUCUCAAACAUCCCCGCUACAAAAAGAGAAACUAAUAGCCGCACGAAUCACCAAAGGCAUCUUGAUGGUGAGGCCUAACAAUGAAUAUGCAAAGUGCUGUGUGCGUGUGUGUGUUUGUGAAUACGGCGUGUGAGUAUAGAGGGCGUUAGUGAAAGGCCAUCCUGCUUAGCGGGCGGCAGCAUGCAGGCAGGUUUUUCACGAGACAGGGAAUCUGUUAUGCAACAUGUGAGUGCCUGCUAAUCUCGCCGAACAGGCUGCUCCUCCUGGCCACCUCUCGGCCCGUGCACACACACACACACACACACACACACACAGAUACGCACAGCUCCUGGCGAUGUUUCUAGACGUGCAUGGCUACACACCCAGGUGGCCUUAAUGGGUUUAAAAGCCAAAGAUUCUCCUGCGCUUCUGUCCAGAGUAGAGCCCUACAGUAGAGCAUGUGACUGCACGGCGAAGCCGCGUGAGAGGUCAAGACGCCGGGAAGUCACCAAAACACACCACGUCGAAGGCCGCAUUAAAGUUCUUAUAUGAGGAAAAUAUAAAGGAGCUUGAAACAAUGUCUUUUUUUCUGUUCUGUUUAGACUGGUUGAUAGUCAAAGAGAGUGUGUGUUGGCCAGCAGAGAUACAAACAAAGGCAUUUAAAUGUCAUUAUAAAAGUUGCGGCGGGUUGGCUGACCCUUAUUGAUGGAUUUGGCAUUUGGCACUUGGCAGUAGGUAAAAUUGGAGCCUGUGUCUGCAGCUCUACAUCUGAAGCAAAGGUCAUUAGGUGACCUAUUGGCGUCAGGUGGUAACAAAGCUAACUCUCUGCAUCGUUACUCAGCUUGUUGGCAUAUGUUGACAGGCUUCCAGCCGAGUGUCUCGGCCUGAAACAGACGCACACGUGCACACACACACACACACACACACACACACACACACACCUAUAUCCUCCAUGCACACACCUGAGGUCCUGUCCAAAAUUACCUCCAGCAAUGACCUCCUCAUCUGUAAUUCCCUGAUCUCACAUGUGUUACUGCAGAGAGCUGCUCUGAUGUGGACAGAAGAAGAAGAGCAGAGAGUUUGUUAUUAUUCCUUUAAUUUACUGAGGAAAAGAAAAGGUAAAAAGUUAUUAUUAGCUUCAUUCCACUCAGUUUGCACUCUGACAAUGUGAGAUGAACUAAACUCAGUCACUCAGCAAAGUGAUGGAAGUGUGAGAAUAUUCACCACUGGCCCAAACUUGCAGCACAAUGGCACAAUAAACACUUUGAUAGAAGCACAAUCUGCAACUCGAGCAAAAACAAAUAACACAUUGAUCCUUACAAGAGUUCUUUUGUCUGGGUUUGGUUCUGGAUUCAUGAACCGAACAAAACAAUUGGUUCCAGAUUGAGGCAGGCUUCUGUUCCCCCCAGGGGAGAUGAUUUAAAUAUAUCAGAGGAGAGAGAAGCAGGAAUAACUGUGGAUGUGGUGAGAGUGCAAUUGAGAGGGAAAGAAUGAGUGAAAUGGAGAAGAAUUCAAACACGGCCGAAACAUUUAAAGUGAAUGGAUGCAUCAGAGCUGGAUGCGAGGAUGCAGGACAAGCGGAUGAAUUUGAUCGUGCCAAACUUUUAAUGAAGAUGAAAGCGGAAUAAUAAGUGUGUAUCGAUGGUGAUUUCUCUUUCAUCGGAUGGAGGCUGUUCUGACCUCAUACUACUCAACAUGACUACACAGCAGUUUCCUUUGUACUAUUUUUAGAUGCUCCAUCUGUAUGUGGAUAGUAAGUCACAGGGUGUUAACGAUUGAGGGGCGAGUGUGUGUGUGUGUGUGUGUGUGUCAUUCGGGUUAUCCAGAUGUUUGGUUGAAUGGGGGCUUCUUCAUUUCCGAAAGAUUAACAAGAAUUUCCCAUAACCCAACUCCAGGUCGGCUAUCAUAACAGUGCUCAUGCUCCCUGGUAUUCUUAAGGGACGGGGUGACACGUUGCAGCUGUUUGACAGCAAAAUUGGUCUUUUUCGUUGAUUGUUGUGGGAGUAGCAGGAGAACACCGAUCGUCUCUCUCUCUCUAUAUAUAUAUAUAUAUAUAUAUAUAUAUAUAUAUAUAUAUAUAUAUGGCUCUCUCUUUCAGAGUGUGCUUCAUUCUUGAGAGGAUGUACCAAAAAGGACCUGGCAAGGGUUUGGCUGAGGUCCAGCUGCCCUGACAAACAUACACACACACACAUUUGCACACAAACAAGGAACACUUAGUCCUCACCGUGGGUGAUUACAAAGCCUUUCAAAAUCAUUUACACACACAAGCAGUCAAGCUGAAAACUAAUUUGUCCCAACCUACACAAAUACAAGGAUACCCUCAUUCACUGACACACGCAUAAGCACUAUCUCACACCAAAUGAUCCACAUCCACAAUAAGAGAGGUGAAAGGUGUGAGGACAGACAACACAAAUACACACACACACAGACACACACAAACCAUGUACACGCGCACACAUACACACAAAUAGCCAUGUCCAAUCUCCAUUCUAAACGGUGAUAAGUGACGGUAAUUUGACAUGACAGCCAUGAACUGUAGUAUCAAACAAUAUGAAUCGGAUGUGGUGAAAGGACACUGUGGCCUCAAUCAACCAGUCAUCAAUUAACCAGUCAACUUAUGGUUCUUAAAGUCCCAGUGAAGUGAAAGCUAGAGCGCAUAUGGCUUACUAGCGUGCUGCAGGGAUGUACACUGUAUAGAGAAAAAGAUGUUAAGAUAUAACAAACUUCAAAUCUCGUCUCAACUCUUCUCAAAAGUAAAACUAAGAUUUCAUUGAUUGGAUGGUGAAAGAGGAAUUUAUAUGUUUGGUUGGCUAAUUGCUCAUUAUAAGAGCUUGGACUCUGCAUGAAGCAACAGAUGCGACCACCAGGUAGACACGCUGCAGGAAGGAGGCGGUAGUGAAAUGAGCAUCCAUGCAGGACACUCAAGGAGUGAUAACAAACUGCUGCCGUGACAUACAGGUGAUGCAUAGCACCAGCAGACAGACAGACAGUUCUCCGGUUGUUAUGUCCCAGAGUUUAGUCCCUUGGCCAUCUGACACCUCUUCCUGUUUGGACAUCAGGCCCCUAAGGACACACACAGCUGGGGACGGGACAAAGCUAGCUCCCUCUGUUUGGAUCCACGCACACACACACAGCGUCCCAUAUGAGGUCCUAUAUAUCAGCCCUGUUGGUGACACAUUCUCCUUUUCAUGUGUGACCAGCAGCCCACGGUCACAUGAGAGAUGUAAGAGCAGCUGUCAGGAACACACAGAGGAGCAUCUGUAUAUAUGCAUGUGCAUGUUUUUGUCCAUUUGGUCAUGAGCAAAACAAGUUUCUUCUGACAUCACCCUGUCAUCGCUGUGAAACUGCAUUUAGAAAAUGACCAUGGAGGAAAAAUAAAUGCAACAAAUCAGUGUAAAACCACAGCUGCAUGUCUGAGCCGGAUGAGUCAACUGUCACAAAGCAAGGGGCCAAAACAAAGACAAAGCAAGGCCUAAUCACUGCUUUGUUUGAAGCAGUUGUAUUCAAAUAUAAUAUGUUUCCUCCAGCAUGUAGACUACAGUUUGUUUUAGUUUGGGAUUUAAGGUAAGAAUGUGCACAUCAAAUGGAUACUUCACAAGGUAUUGAUUGGAAAUACCAUAAUACCACCAGUUUGCUUAACCAGUAUAACAAAUCCCACAAUAAAUCCCAUUGCUGACUGGGUAUUGGAUGUCAUAUAACUUGCAGCUUGUCUAAAAUGUUUUUCAAGGUUGUGUGCAAUGCCAUCAGCAAGAUAUUCUGACACUACACACAAUAGUGUAUAUUUUGUGACAGCCGGGAAAGGCCUCUUUCUUUAACAUGAUAGUUCCUCUAAACUGCAAUCAUUUGCAAGGCUCAGACUUCAGGAAGUAACUGGACCCGAUCAAGAAUGAGUCUGGCACAAAAGCCUGUGUAAAACAGCAACGAACCCCAUAACUUAAAUAAUUGUGUUGGGGAAGCAUAUCCCAGAUUUCAACACAGCAUUUCACUUUGUAAUUGUCUCACGUAAUAAUAUCUGUGCUUAUGUGUUUCUGGUCAUUUUGGUCAUCAUUCACAUUUUUGACCAAUCAUUUCUAUUAACUUUAAAUUAUUUUUUUGGUUACAUUUACCGUCUGCACCAGAAAUGGAUGAACCGUGAAUGAACAUAUUUCAUGCUGGUCGUGAGUCCAAGCUGCUAGAAAAGGAACAAAAGUAUUGGUUCUCCUCAUUGAUUCAGGUGGUAAUCUUCAUCAAUUACAAGUGUAUAAUUUGAAAGUGUUUCCUCGUAAAUUACCCCGAUUAGAGUAUUUUCACAUUCCCGGUGUAGCUUUUAGGAAACGAUAACUUUUAAUACGCCUGCCUAGAUUCAUAACAGCAUUUUCACCCAUGAUCUUGUGUCAGUAAGCUUUGGUGCAUUUGCACCCUUGGGCUCUUUAACAUUCAGCUUAGCGGAGCAUUUUAUCUCAGCCACACAAGGUCUUCUGAUAAGCGAGGAGCCAUGUGGUGCAUUAGUUUAGCAUCCCAGCCAGCCAUGCUAGUAAUUCCUGCUUUGAUAUGAGUGGACCUGUGGAGGACGGGGGGUGAAAUAUCCUAUUCCGAAAUACCAGUUAAGCUAGCCUUGAUUUAAGUCUAGACGUGUGUGGGAUGUAGAGGAAGAAGCACAGACUCCUCUCUGGGCCGCAGGAUUAGAACGUUUACCUGCUAAUGUGUUUAGGUACGACACACACACACACAGACUCUGAUACACACAAUGUAAAUACCGUACAUGGAAACAUACAUGGAAAAAGAGACACGUUUUGUGUACACAAUUCCCAAAACAUAUAUACCACUAUAGAUCCAGUACAUUCGGCUGGCCUGGCCGUGCUUUGUGUAUUUGUGGGUGCUGAGGUCUGCACCCAUCUGCUCCUGUGUGUGUGUAAUCUGCCACAGACAGGCUAGAGCGCUUAGAAGGGCCAGACUGCAAACACUGCAAUGGGAUGAGACACCUGCCACAGGGCUAAGACCAGAGCCCUGACGCACAAACACACACAGAUGGAGGCCACAGUUACCACGGACAAAGCAGUCACUCCACUGCUGCCCAAGCGGUGAGACAUCUCAGUUUUUUUUGUACUGUUUACGAUGAUAGUUUACAUUGAGAGACCAGUAUUUCCUGCAGGGUGUUGAUUGUCGGCACCUGUGCCGCAACCAAACUAAUUGGUUUGUAUUAAUUGUCAAUGGAGAAUUUGACGGUUCCAAAACCACAGCUCUCAAAAUGCUCCCGGUGAGGAGGGAAAGAGAUCCGCUUAUCCUCGUCUUGAAGUCUAGCUUUGAGCAUCUGCUGUCAGAGUGUCACGUCUGAAUUUAGCAAAUGCCCAGGCACGAGGUGGCUGCGUUCUAAAUGCCCAAUGCUCAAAGGAGUGUCUGUCGUGCCGCAGCUCGGCGUGCCAAAUCAGAGCUGGCUAGUAGCUCCCCAUAGGCGAACAGAUGGCCAUUACUAUCAUUUAUAACUUAUUAGGGCCUAUAAUCCUACCUGCGUCAAACACGCCCCAACGCUUAGGGCUGGCUCUCUUUUUUUUUUUUUUUGCCUCAUUUAAAACAGUUCUAUCUGCCAGAAAAGUCCUCUUCAUGAUUCUCUCCGUCUCUCUGCAUUUGUAAUCCGCAAACUGUUGGGAACAACAAGGACAAACUGGUGUGGGGUUGUCUUUUAAAUCAAAAGUCAACCCGCCGUAGCGACAAAGAACAACUCUUGACAACGGGCAGGCCCGGGACACAUGUGACAUUUUACCAUUCUUAAGAUUGAUUUUAAGAGACACGCGCAUGUUUAAUAAAAUGCCGAUGUAGUGCCAAAGUGAUAAUUCCCAUUCUGCCUGAUUUCUGCAGUCCUUCUCCCACUUUGUCAGUCUCUCUGUCUGGCUCCACAGAAGCAAUCGUCAGUGAUGCCUCACAUCCACCACCCAAGCAGGUGUGGGCAUUGACGUUUCUGCUGUGAACAGGCUGCAUCUGUCAUGUGGCAAAGCAGAAAUAGCUCCAAUCAAUGUCCCCCUCGGACACACACGCACGCACACGCACACACACGGCCACGCUCGCACACACCCCUGGCUCCGCCGUUCUCCAUCCAGCAAACAAGGAUCUAUGGAACAGACAUUGUAAACCGCCCCUUCUCCCCCCGGGCAGUGCGGGGCGAUCGAUCAGCCCGUCUCGGAGGGUCAACGGGGCUGAUGUAUCCUCCUUGAACUUUACACUGACUUCAAAAUAACUGACUCCAAUUCCUCGCCCUCCCACCCGUCGCCAUUUUGCUGCAGCUACUUUGUUGCGGCCAUUUUGUGUCCCCCGCCAUUUAGCACUCUAUUGAGCUGUAGCUGGGGACGCCAAAUGGAACGUGUGAAACCCCCCUCCUCCCCCACCCAGCACCACGCCCCAUUAUUUGUGACCGUUUGGAUGACAGACAAAUAGAUGGGCAGACAAACCGGCAGACAGAGAGACAGAAGGAAGGCAGAUGACCGGCUUUGAUGAGCUUUAUGGAGAUAGCGGACAGACAGACAGACAGACAAAUGUGUGUCUGCAAACAUACAGACAGAUAGACAGACAGAAGGUAUAUAUAUAUAUAUAUAUAUAUAUAUAUAUACAUGCGUGUUUGUGCCGGGCACGUGUAUGCGCGCAUGUGUGUGAGCGGAUGUCAGACCAGGUUGUGUGUUCCUGCAGUGGCAGAGAUGAGAGGAAGAGAACCGGAAGCUGCUCUCCUGGAGACAGAUGGACUGCCAUGCUGUGGACACACACACACACACACACACAGAUACACACAACAGUACAGCCAACAACAGAACAUAUCAGAGCACGACUGAUGAAAACAUAAAAAAAACCACCAACACGCCGGCCUAAAAAGGGAUGAAAUACGCAAACAAAACUAUACCCGCCAAAGUUCAAUCCGCAGGGCAUCAGCAGCAUCAGCAGCAUCCAAGUGUCUCUUGACUGCUGAGAACCUCCCGCGGUUCAAUCCAGGAACUCAGCCUCGCUUGACGCAGUCGCACCUGAAAGGUAAAAUCCACAAUGAACACGGUGAGACGCUUGCUGACAAAUAUACAUGACACGCUCGCGCUCAUGACAGGUGUUAAUCCUGCCUGCCUCAGGUAUACGGUGACAACCUUCUCACACCCAACUUGAGAGCUCUGGCUGCACCAGGUUGUCACACAGGACGUGUUGUGCGCACACACGCACACACGCAGAUUCUGCUUCUUCUCUUUACUUUUCCCAGUCUGUCUUUUGAACGGAGACACACAGGAAAGGGAAGGAUGAGAUGAGAGAGUCUUCGCAGACAUCGACUCCAGCAGCGACAACAGCAGUAUCACACCGUGUGUUUGGGUGUUUCUGCGAGCGUCUGCGAAUGUGUGUGUGUGCCCGGGCGCGUGUGCUAGGUGUGUUUCACAGGAUUGCCAACACAUCUCCUCGCAGCGAGAGCCCUAUAGGAACAGAGACAUCUGUGGAGUGAAAGGACGCCAGCUUGCACGGCCGUCUCUGGAGAAAGAAGAGGAUGGGAGGAGGAGAAGAUGAGGAGGAGGAGGAGGAGGAAGAGGAAGAGGGAACGGGCAGAAGGAUGGAGGACAGUCGGCAGGAGCUCCAAACGUUCAUCCGAUAAUUACCGUCAGUCAAUAAUUGGAGUCCCGUCUAGUUCUGAACAUGAAGAGCUGAACAUUUUGCGUUUGAAUAAGUUGCUCCAUCAAGUAUAGCAAAGAGUAGAAGAAGAAGUUAACUUUUCUCUAAUCUAAGUAAAACAAUUCUUGGAACAACUAAAAAUGUACAGUAUCAUCUAUGGGUUAUCCCUUUAAUUGAUUUAAAUGGGUGUCCGUUGUAUUAAAAAACACUUUAACAUGCAGAUUUUUCUCUUUUGUUAGGUGUCGCCCUGUCAUUGAGUGGGCUUAGAAAUAAAUGAAGUGGUGAUUCGCUGCUUCAUCACAUCUUUGAAAAUAUAAACCUUUUAAAGAAAAGACUUAAAAGUAUUGCUCAUGCCUGCCUCAGCCACAAAUCCAUUGGAAUAAAAGCACCUCGAUGAAAAAAACAUAUUUUUCAAGCACCCUCGGUGAAUGUCGGCAAAUAGAUAUUGGAGGUUUGGCCUUCUUCAACAAUUCAUCCAUAACUAUGCAGCCGGGGACUUCUACCCGCAAAUGGAGCUGAUGACAAUACAAGCAAAUGUCCUCCUUGUGUGUACAAGCAAGUGCACUCAAGCAGAUGUGCUCUGCAGACCUUGGGAGUGCGAGCCAGGGAACAGGACACAGGUGCACCUGCUCUGUGCUCUCGGUAAAAGGUCAGCCAAACUCAAAGAGGGAUGUGACCUUCCAGCGCUUGUGUGUAAAUGUUUGCGAGCCCGUCCAAAAAGCUGAAAGUGUGAGAGUUAGAAUGAAAUUAAUAUGUACCGGGGAGGGGGGGGGGGGUAUUUGCUAAAUGUGUGCAGCAGUGUAUUCCUUGCAGCUCAUCUGUUUUCCGCUAAUCUUACUGAGACUUUUUUCCAAACAGCCAUCGUUGCCACACGUGGCUCCGCGUCGGUUGCCCAAGUGCAUUUCCAGCGAUCUGAGCAGGUAUACAGGAAAAAACAUGUGCAGCCGGACCCCUGCCAGAGGAGACAGAAAGUCCGCAAUGAUGUUUCACCACAUAGAUUAUGCAGAUACCGCGGUAUCAGGAACCACGGAACAGAGAGGGAGAGAAACGGGGGAGAAACGGAGAGAGAGAGAGAGACGGGGAGCCGGCGACAAACAAACACGGGCGGAAAGAAAGGACAGAGAUGGGAGCGAACACAGGGAAAACGGAGCAAGCGUCAGCAUGAGAGGGGAGGACAUGAGAGACAGAGCGAGGGAAGUGAAGCGGGGAGGGGGUGUGCGCAGGCUACAGCUGGCAGAGGGAUUCCCAGAGCCAACUGCCAGUGUAGAGGAGCUCCUUAACAACUUCACAGGACUCUCAGAAAGGAGCUUUAAAGUGGCCACAUGGCCUGGCCAGCACAGCAGAGCAGAGCAGCAGGCUUUACUGGGGCUCUGCACACACACACACACACACACACACAUCCGUGUGCAAAGCAUUCACACACACACACACACACACACACACAAGCUCAAAAAGACUCAGCCUGCCAGCUGCUGACAGGGACAAGAGUGUCCAGAGCGAUAAAUCUGUGAGCAUCUGUGUGUGUGUGUGUGUGUGUGUGUGUGUGUGUGUGUGAGAGGAGGGGUUAGGAAAGAAAUAGCAAAAGAGCAAGAAGCCACUUCUAACCUCACACACGUGUAGUCAGCCGGAGGUCUGCGUGAAAAUGUCAGGUUAGCCGUAUGAGCUGCUUCUUCGAUGUGUGCCGCAUUGCCUACCCGCAGUCUCUUUCGUCUGCUUGCACGCUGCCUCUUUGCACAAAACACAAACCCCUACAACUGCUGUCCUCCUCUGCACCUGCAGCUUGCCUCCAGGAGGGAGGACACGUGCGCGCGGGACAUGCUGUUCGGCAAAGCAGCUUUGCUUUUUCGCCGUUUGAUUCUCCCCGAUAGCAGCGAGCAGCGGCUGGUCAUCUAAUGGUUUCAACCAGCUAAUCCUCGUAAUUUUUGGAACCGCCGGCUGAUCCUUUAAAUGCCCGCGCUCGGUGCAAAGCAGAAAUUGGUUCUUGUUGGUUUUUUUGUGUUCCGUUCAAAUGCUCGAUUAACAUUAUCCCUCUUUUGAGCCGAACUUUGAGGGAAGGAUGGAGGGAUUGAAAUACGCCGGAGGAAAGGAUGGACCGGGGGGGGAAAGGGGCAGUGGAGGAGAUGCCAUCACACAACCAGACUCAGACAAAUAUCUCCCUCCCUGCGUUCUCUCUCUCAAACCUUUACUGGACCCCUGUCUGCCUGGAUGGGUAAGUUCUCCCGGGGUCCGCUCGGCCACAAAAGGUUUAUCAGUCGUCUUUCCUUUAUAUUUUUUUCCCACCAUCACUAUGCCAGACCACCGCUAUAGUAAUGGCGGGGCAUUAGCAUUUCAAGGAGCUUCCAUUAAGGAGGGCAAGAAAAGCUGCUCUCAGCAGGGGGAAAUCCAUUUUGUCCCAGGCUCCAACAUCUGCUGCAGCCGUCCCAGCCAGAAGGACGCUGGGAUAAAGCCGGAGAGCCCUCUGAUUUACUGUAAUGACAGACAGACAGAUAGACAGGCAGAACGGAUGACCAUAUGCGAAAGCGAGGGACAAAAAGGAAAAGACAAAAACAGCUUCUGUCUCACUGUCUGUCAUUUUCUGGUGCUUUCCAUGUGCAUGUGUUGGUGGUGG